CUGCCAACCAGCGAUGGUGAGCGAAUCCCAAAAAGUGCGUCGUAGUCCGGAUUGGAGUCUGCAACUCGACUCCAUGAAGUCGGAAUCGCUAGUAAUCGUGGAUCAGAAUGCCACGGUGAAUACGUUCCCGGGCCUUGUACACACCGCCCGUCACACCAUGGGAGUGGGCUGCAAAAGAAGUGGGUAGUUUAACCUUUCGAGGAGGACGCUCACCACUUUGUGGUUCAUGACUGGGGUGAAGUCGUAACAAGGUAGCGCUAGGGGAACCUGGCGCUGGAUCACCUCCUUA
Molecule: ribosomal RNA, 289 nt
Filed under: Vibrio ichthyoenteri ATCC 700023
Lineage: Bacteria; Pseudomonadati; Pseudomonadota; Gammaproteobacteria; Vibrionales; Vibrionaceae
Description: partial 16S ribosomal RNA
Rfam family: Bacterial small subunit ribosomal RNA
Source: RNAcentral